AGUGCGAAAGCUAACUUUGCUUCAAAAAUGUAUUCUUUUGCAAAUUAGUUUUUAACUGCAAAUAAAUACUGGUUCAGAAUAAGAAGUUUGAAAGAAUAAAUAAACUUCUAGACAAUAAAUUCCGUGAGGAUAGGGCCUGCACCACAUUCAUCUUUGAGCCCUCACUACUGCGCACCAAUCUUGACAAUAAUAAAUUACCUAGAAGUAUUGCUUUUCCUUUCAUGAAUGAAGAAACAUGAUCCUUUGAGUGGGAGAGAAAAAUCAUAUUGCUUAUUUUCAUUAGUAUAGAGACCAGAAAUUUUAAUUGGCUAACGUUUUCAUAUUCAUAGUUCAUGGAUUAUUUUGAUGUAGAUACAGUCAGGAAAAACAGUCAACCAAAUUAAAAUAAAAUGUUUUAACUGGAUUGCAUUAUAAUAUUUAUUUAUAGCCUAUCUAGUCCUAUAAGGAAAUCACAAAUAUGACAAAAUAAGACAUAUAAAACAAAAACCAGAAAAGAAAAUUACAUUAAGAAAACUUCUUGGAGAGAAGUCAUAGCAAUUCAGCAUGACACUUAGCUCUAAGUCUCCUGUUACCCAAUGCUGGGAGGAAAACACGAGAGGGUACCUCCCUCCUCGUUGCCUGGUAGAAGGAAGCAUCUAAGUUCAUCCAGAGAGAGAACACUUGUCCCAUCCCGAGGUUCGAGGUAAUUUAUCCUAUGCCUUUGUGAAGAAGACACUAAGAAAAAUAGGGACAAGAAACUUCAUGUCAAUUUUAUAAAUAGAGAUGAAAAGACAAAUACACAUGAAGCCUUUUUUUUUUUUUUUCCAGUCGUGGGUGAGAGAUGAGGACAGAAUGUUGUGUUUCCAUGAGAGCUAUCCCUGAGGAAAAUUUACUUUGCUGGUAUGAUGAAGAUCACUUUUACACCCAUUCAGUGGUUUUCAGUACUGUCUACAAAUAUUUAUGGCACUUACACAUGAAAGGUUUAGCCUUGGAAAAUUCAUUUUAAGCCAAGAAUACCCUGUACCUAAAGUUCACAACCAUCCAGUAGGAUGUGAAAAAUAAAGCAUCAACAACAGCUCAACUCAGAUGGACUGACUGUCCUGUAACAAUAGAUCAGAACACAAGAUGAUUGUUGGGGCAUAAAAAGAAAAUAUUAGAACUUCUGCUUAUAUUUAUUGUAGAACAUAUUGUAAAGUUUUUAUUAUUUAUUCACUUUUUGAUGUAUACUUUACUUAUUUUAGUAAAUAAGUAAACAUAAGUUGGAGAAAUGUACUGAUUUUUUUUUAUUAGAGGGGAGCACAAAAAUGCCUUGGAAAUGACUGUAACAGAUAACCAGAAAGUAUAACCGUUAGGGAGAGGGGCACCAAAGAGUAAAAAUGGAAGAGAAACA
Molecule: long non-coding RNA, 1369 nt
Filed under: Canis lupus familiaris (dog)
Lineage: Eukaryota; Metazoa; Chordata; Mammalia; Carnivora; Canidae
Description: lncRNA (ENSCAFG00845028615.1)
Source: RNAcentral